Molecule: ribosomal RNA, 465 nt
Filed under: Vreelandella stevensii
Lineage: Bacteria; Pseudomonadati; Pseudomonadota; Gammaproteobacteria; Oceanospirillales; Halomonadaceae
Description: partial 16S ribosomal RNA
Rfam family: Bacterial small subunit ribosomal RNA
Source: RNAcentral
CCUACGGGGGGCUGCAGUGGGGAAUAUUGGACAAUGGGGGGAACCCUGAUCCAGCCAUGCCGCGUGUGUGAAGAAGGCCCUCGGGUUGUAAAGCACUUUCAGUGAGGAAGAACGCCUGGUGGUUAAUACCCAUCAGGAAAGACAUCACUCACAGAAGAAGCACCGGCUAACUCCGUGCCAGCAGCCGCGGUAAUACGGAGGGUGUGAGCGUUAAUCGGAAUUACUGGGCGUAAAGCGCGCGUAGGUGGCUUGAUAAGCCGGUUGUGAAAGCCCCGGGCUCAACCUGGGAACGGCAUCCGGAACUGUCAAGCUAGAGUGCAGGAGAGGAAGGUAGAAUUCCCGGUGUAGCGGUGAAAUGCGUAGAGAUCGGGAGGAAUACCAGUGGCGAAGGCGGCCUUCUGGACUGACACUGACACUGAGGUGCGAAAGCGUGGGUAGCAAACAGGAUUAGAUACCCUUGUAGUC